ACACACGUACUACAAUGGCUGUAACAAAGGGAAGCUAAGCCGCGAGGUGGAGCAAAACCCAAAAAAGCAGUCUCAGUUCGGAUUGAAGGCUGAAACUCGCCUCUUUGAAGUCGGAAUCGCUAGUAAUCGCAGAUCAGCAUGUUGCGGUGAAUACGUUCCCGGGUCUUGUACACACCGCCCGUCAAACCAUGAGAGUCACCAACACCCGAAGUCCGCCUUGGCGGCCUAAGGUGGGGGAGAUGAUUGGGGUUAAGUCGUAACAAGGUAAC
RNAcentral lists this ribosomal RNA (269 nucleotides) under uncultured bacterium. RNAcentral describes it as "partial 16S ribosomal RNA". It matches the Rfam family "Bacterial small subunit ribosomal RNA", at positions 1216 to 1500 of the family's 1533-position model. The record is from RNAcentral.